CGAGAUUGUGUCAUGGCACUCCAGCCUGGGUGACAAAGCGAGACACCAUCUAAAAAAAAAUAUAUGUAUAAAACUGUCCUUGAGGGCCGUCGUUCACCCUCCUCCACCUUGUCCCCUGCACUGGGAGGCAACCACAACAGGCACGGCCCAUGCUCCUGCACCACCUGGCUUCUGCUUGGGUGUGGAUGAUAACAGGCACCUGCAGGAGAUGGGAGCAUGCGGGGAGAAGUAACUCAGGGUUUUCAUUUCCCUCACUCCCUCUGGACAGCUCUGUGGUUCCGUAAUCAUUGCCGUCCUCUACCUACAGCCACAGGCAUGUGGGUCUGCCCCUAGUGAAAGCUACAGAUUUCCUUGGGUUCUGGAAACUGCUCCCUUCGUUGCUCUUUCAAGCUUCAAGAUGAAAACAGUUUCCUGCCAGGAAUAAUCCCAGGGAGCUUCAGCGCCCUUUGUGGCUUUCUUAGCCCUGCCGGCACCUGUGUAGAAGGUGCCAUCUCAGGCCAGCGCGGUGGCUCAAACGUGUAAUCUCAGCACCUUGAGAGGCUGAGGCCAGAGGAUCACC
Molecule: long non-coding RNA, 559 nt
Filed under: Homo sapiens (human)
Lineage: Eukaryota; Metazoa; Chordata; Mammalia; Primates; Hominidae
Description: HSALNT0104288
Source: RNAcentral